GCACAACGCGAAGAACCUUACCCACCUUUGGCAUGUACGGAAUCCUUUAGAGAUAGAGGAGUGCUCGAAAGAGAGCCCGUAACACAGGUGCUGCAUGGCUGUCGUCAGCUCGUGUCGUGAGAUGUUGGGUUAAGUCCCGCAACGAGCGCAACCCUGCCAUUAGUUGCUACAUUUAGUUGAGCACUCUAAUGGGACUGCCGGUGACAAACCGGAGGAAGGUGGGGAUGACGUCAAGUCCUCAUGGCCCUUGUAGGUGGGGCUACACACGUCAUACAAUGGCUGGUACAAAGGGUUGCCAACCCGCGAGGGGGAGCUAAUCCCAUAAAGCCAGUCGUAGUCCGGAUCGCAGUCUGCAACUCGACUGCGUGAAGUCGGAAUCGCUAGUAAUCGUGGAUCAGAAUGUCACGGUGAAUACGUUCCCGGGUCUUGUACACAC
This 436-nucleotide ribosomal RNA is filed under the name uncultured bacterium. RNAcentral describes it as "bacterial SSU rRNA". It matches the Rfam family "Bacterial small subunit ribosomal RNA", at positions 954 to 1390 of the family's 1533-position model. The record is from RNAcentral.